RNAcentral lists this ribosomal RNA (498 nucleotides) under uncultured bacterium. RNAcentral's name for it is "partial 16S ribosomal RNA". It matches the Rfam family "Bacterial small subunit ribosomal RNA", at positions 30 to 523 of the family's 1533-position model. The record is from RNAcentral.
AUUGAACGCUGGCGGCAUGCCUUACACAUGCAAGUCGAACGGUAACAGGUCUUCGGAUGCUGACGAGUGGCGAACGGGUGAGUAAUACAUCGGAACAUGCCUAGUAGUGGGGGAUAACUACUCGAAAGAGUGGCUAAUACCGCAUGAGAUCUACGGAUGAAAGCAGGGGAUCGCAAGACCUUGUGCUACUAGAGCGGCCGAUGGCAGACUAGGUAGUUGGUGGGAUAAAAGCUUACCAAGCCGACGAUCUGUAGCUGGUCUGAGAGGACGAUCAGCCACACUGGGACUGAGACACGGCCCAGACUCCUACGGGAGGCAGCAGUGGGGAAUUUUGGACAAUGGGCGAAAGCCUGAUCCAGCAAUGCCGCGUGCAGGAUGAAGGCCUUCGGGUUGUAAACUGCUUUUGUACGGAACGAAAAGCCCCGGGUUAAUACCCUGGGGUCAUGACGGUACCGUAAGAAUAAGCACCGGCUAACUACGAGCCAGCAGCCGCGGUAA